UGAAAAAGCUAAGACCCCAACAAGCACAACAAAUGUAAGCUACCCAAACACAAGUGUAAGUUACUUGGCGGCCUUCAUUACUUUUUUAUUACUUUUCUUUUCUUUUCUUUUCUUUUCUUUUCUUUUUUGCGUGUAAGAUGAUGAGAACGCAACAAAAUGAACAUGUACUUGCUAUGAAUGAAGAAGUAAUAAUCUUCAUGAACUCAGAUUGAUUGAUCAAAUAAUGGUAUUUUUAUCAUCAAUAUAUAUU
This 250-nucleotide non-coding RNA is filed under the name Heterosigma akashiwo. Lineage: Eukaryota; Raphidophyceae; Chattonellales; Chattonellaceae. The record is from RNAcentral.